Alligator mississippiensis (American alligator) is the source of this 592-nucleotide long non-coding RNA. RefSeq lists it as uncharacterized. NCBI's taxonomy places the organism in Eukaryota, Metazoa, Chordata, Crocodylia, Alligatoridae. The transcript is spliced from 2 exons. The record is from RefSeq and is a predicted model, not a curated record.
GGGAACCAUUUUCAGGCGGGGAGUGUGGACCGGGGCGCAGGCGUCAUCCUGCCCGGGACGUAAACACGGCUCGGGGAGGGGGGCCGGGUCGCAGGCACCCAGCGCCGAGGAUCGCUGCUGCCGCCGCCGCUGCCUGGCUGCUCACAUCGGUGUGUGUUGUUGUUAGGUCACGAGUGUGCAGCAGGCAUUUGCACGCAGGCGCUGAGCUGUUUGCUACGGGGGAGAGCUGGCGUGUCAGGGGCUGGAGGCAGCCGGGUCCCAGCGGCAUCCCCCCGGGGCACGGCCCCGCGGCUGCACGGGGGAGGCAGGCACUGACGUGCGCGGCGCCGCCUCCCGCAUGGACACGGGCGCCGCAGACGUGUCCGUGCACACGUGCGCCCAGGAGGAGCCUACGGCCGCUGCCACUCCGGAGCUGCCCCGAGGUCCUGGAGCACAGCUUGUGAAUCACUCCAGGCUGUCAUGGAAAUUUAAAUUAGACCAUACAAAUAUGCCUUUCUCUGACCACCCCUGUUGGAGUAGCCCCUAUCAUUUUUAAUUAGUCCCAGUUUAAAAAUAUUUUUUUCUAGAAUAAAAUACCCUUUUAACAAAUGUA